Molecule: ribosomal RNA, 497 nt
Filed under: uncultured bacterium
Lineage: Bacteria
Description: partial 16S ribosomal RNA
Rfam family: Bacterial small subunit ribosomal RNA
Source: RNAcentral
UCUUCCCUCUUUCUUCGUGCCUAAUACAUGCAAGUCGAGCGAACAGACGAAGAGCUUGCUCCUCUGACGUUAGCGGCGGACGGGUGAGUAACACGUGGAUAACCUACCUAUAAGACUGGGAUAACUUCGGGAAACCGGAGCUAAUACCGGAUAAUAUAUUGAACCGCAUGGUUCAAUAGUGAAAGACGGUUUUGCUGUCACUUAUAGAUGGAUCCGCGCCGCAUUAGCUAGUUGGUAAGGUAACGGCUUACCAAGGCAACGAUGCGUAGCCGACCUGAGAGGGUGAUCGGCCACACUGGAACUGAGACACGGUCCAGACUCCUACGGGAGGCAGCAGUAGGGAAUCUUCCGCAAUGGGCGAAAGCCUGACGGAGCAACGCCGCGCGAGUGAUGAAGGUCUUCGGAUCGUAAAACCCUGUUAUUAGGGAAGAACAAAUGUGUAAGUAACUAUGCACGUCUUGACGGUACCUAAUCAGAAAGCCACGGCUAACUACGUG